RNAcentral lists this ribosomal RNA (253 nucleotides) under uncultured bacterium. Its description in RNAcentral is "partial 16S ribosomal RNA". It matches the Rfam family "Bacterial small subunit ribosomal RNA", at positions 524 to 776 of the family's 1533-position model. The record is from RNAcentral.
UACGGAGGGUGCAAGCGUUAUCCGGAUUUAUUGGGUUUAAAGGGUCCGUAGGCGGAUCUGUAAGUCAGUGGUGAAAUCUCACAGCUUAACUGUGAAACUGCCAUUGAUACUGCAGGUCUUGAGUGUUAUUGAAGUAGCUGGAAUAAGUAGUGUAGCGGUGAAAUGCAUAGAUAUUACUUAGAACACCAAUUGCGAAGGCAGCAAACUACGCAUAUAUUGACGCUGAGGCACGAAAGCGUGGGGAUCAAACAGG